GGUUUGCCGCUGGUUUUUGUGUCUACGUGGACCUUUAUUAUGUCACGUGAGCUUCAUACAUCGUGUUGGAAAGGUUAUGGAAAGUCCAAUUAUGUAUGGAUUCUAACUGGUCCUAUGGUCAUCGCUUUGCUGGUAAACAGUGUUUUUAUGGUCAAUAGUCAGAAUAUUGAUUACAAAACUAAACCGAAGCGUAUCAGUAGAAAGCGCGCAAAUCAAGAAAGCUGUUAAGGCAACUGCUCUGCUUUUCCCUCUUCUCGGCCUCACUCAUUUAAUGUUCUACGUCAACCCCAAAGAUGAUGCCAUGUUUGAAGAAGCCUGUAUGAUUACAAACGCUAUUCUACAAUCGUCAC
This is a long non-coding RNA of Stegodyphus dumicola, 350 nucleotides long. The record is from RefSeq and is a predicted model, not a curated record. NCBI's taxonomy places the organism in Eukaryota, Metazoa, Arthropoda, Arachnida, Araneae, Eresidae.